UCUUGAGUAACCUUGGCUGCAGCAGACCACAGGACUGGGCUACGUGGCAUAUUCACGCCGGACCACAGGGCUGGUUUUAACCAAUAUUAUAUCCUUUUUCUAGCAUAUACAUUCCUAGCAUAUGCAGCCCCGUUCCUCUGCUCCCUCAUUCUGAUUCAGCAAAUUUACCUCAGUUACUUAACACACGUGGGACAACCCCCAAUGCUGCCCA
Egretta garzetta (little egret) is the source of this 211-nucleotide long non-coding RNA. RefSeq lists it as uncharacterized. The transcript is spliced from 4 exons. The record is from RefSeq and is a predicted model, not a curated record. Lineage: Eukaryota; Metazoa; Chordata; Aves; Pelecaniformes; Ardeidae.